GGCGCUAUAGCCAAGUGGUUACGGCGACAGAUUCGAAUUACGAUAUCUGUUCCUCUUUGAGGGCGCAGGUUCAAAUCCUGCUGGCGUCG
Non-coding RNA from Stygiomarasmius scandens, 89 nucleotides. The record is from the annotation of a GenBank genome assembly. Lineage: Eukaryota; Fungi; Basidiomycota; Agaricomycetes; Agaricales; Campanellaceae.